UACGAACCGUGCGAACGUUGUUCGGAUUCACUGGGCUUAAAGCGUGUGUAGGCGGAUCGGUAAGUACCUUGUGAAAUCCCACAGCUUAACUGUGGAACUGCUUGGUAUACUGCCAGUCUUGAGCCAGCUAGGGGCUACCGGAACAAAUGGUGGAGCGGUGAAAUGCGUAGAUAUCAUUUGGAACGCCAAUGGUGAAAACAGGUAGCUGGGGCUGUGCUGACGCUGAGACACGAAAGCCAGGGGAGCAAACGGG
This 253-nucleotide ribosomal RNA is filed under the name uncultured bacterium. Its description in RNAcentral is "partial 16S ribosomal RNA". It matches the Rfam family "Bacterial small subunit ribosomal RNA", at positions 524 to 776 of the family's 1533-position model. The record is from RNAcentral.